UAAAAGAACAGCUGGUACUGGUGUCAUGUAAUAAGAGGAAUGACUGUUGAUUUAGUUAUUGCCAGUCUUGGUUAAACUGUAUUGCCACAUUCAUUUGGUACAACACAUGGGUCAUAGAUACCCUGAUGAAGACAGCUACUCCUGAAACUCAUUGAAACGUUGGUAAUAAACUAUUGCAUCGGAGCACCUCGUGUGCGGCUAUUUCUUUUGUUAAAAAAGCCAGCACCUCGUCAAACCAGAGACUGGUAUAGAAAAGUUCCCGGCCGCCCUGGCGCCCUCUGGCCCUCCGCCGGCUCCUGACCCUCCGGCUCUCCCGGCUCCUGAUCUUCCGCCGGUUCUGCCUCCCCUGCCUGUCCCGACGGCUCCGCCACCCUGUUUUAGAGAAUGUAACCAUGCCAGACCACAUGUAUCCACGCCAGACCCCAUGAAACCACGGCAGACCCCAUGAAACCACGCCAGACCCCAUGAAACCACGGCAGACCCCAUGAAACCACGCCAGACCGCAUGUAACCACGCCAGACCCCAUGAAACCACGCCAGACCCCAUGAAACCACGCCAGACCCCAUGAAACCACGCCAGACCCCAUGAAACCACGCCAGACCCCAUGAAACCACGCCAGACCGCAUGUAACCACUGCAGACCGCAUGUAACCACGGCAGACCGCAUGUAACCACGGCAGACCGCAUGUAACCACGGCAGACCGCAUGUAACCACGCCAGAUCCCAUGUACCCACGCCAGAUCCCAUGUACCCACGCCAGAUCCCUUGUAACCACGGCAGACCGCAUGUAACCACGGCAGACCGCAUGUACCCACGCCAGAUCCCAUGUAACCACGCCAGACCGCAGACCUCCAUGUCCAGCGUCUCCACUUGUGGGACCAUCUAAACCGACCAACUGGCCGGCUGAUUAGACUUUGUAUUUGCAAAAAACUGAAGAAUUACUGCAGAAACUGUUCCCCACCUCAGGGAACCUCAUCUGCAUAUUCACCAUCAUCACCAGGGUUUUGUCCAGACCGAAGUUCGCCACUGUAACAGACCACCGCUCAUCUUUCAUGAAGCCUUGUUCAAGUAGUGUGCAUCUCACCCAGUUUCAACUGUACCAGUCACUAACUCCAAGUGAUAUCUUUGAAACUGUUGUAAAUCGUAGAUUAAAUUUUUUUUUUAGUUUACCCGAAUAGUUUAAAAAGGGGAAACAAUAUCUUUUGUCCUUCAUGGAUUGAGACACUGCACUUCUCCACUCUCUCUUUCGCUAAAGGGAAGCCAAAUCACAUGCUCACGUACUUCAAUACAACCUGACAAACAUAUUUCAACCAUAGUGAAACUCACCUGUUUUCAUGGCUAGCUCAAUGUUACAGUCAGAGAACUCAUGUCUCUUGCUCACGGUACAAACAUGAGACCCAAAGUCUUCUGUCCGAACUUCUGUGAUGGUAAGAGUGAUCUUCUUUGGUUUAUAGUCCAGUGAGUAACCCUGGCUGCAGUUCAGGAAGGCCUUAAGAUAAAAUCACAACAAUGUAGAAUGUAGAGUGCCUUUUGAAUGUAUUCAGACCCUUUCACUUUCUCCAAAUGUUUUUGUGUUAU
This is a long non-coding RNA of Esox lucius (northern pike), 1577 nucleotides long. Lineage: Eukaryota; Metazoa; Chordata; Actinopteri; Esociformes; Esocidae. The record is from Ensembl.